AGGUUCCGCGGAGUGCCGGUGAAAAGGGAAACAGGUGAGAAUCCUGUGCGAACUCGUCACUGUGACACGGAGCGGCCGCGAAAGACCACUGGGAGACCGGGAAGGGCGCGGCUGCGUUGAAAUCCAGCCAGGAGACCUGCCUGAUGUUUC
This 150-nucleotide non-coding RNA is filed under the name bovine gut metagenome. The record is from RNAcentral.